GAUGAACGCUGGCGGCGUGCCUAAUACAUGCAAGUCGAGCGAACAGACGAGGAGCUUGCUCCUCUGACGUUAGCGGCGGACGGGUGAGUAACACGUGGAUAACCUACCUAUAAGACUGGGAUAACUUCGGGAAACCGGAGCUAAUACCGGACAAUAUAUUGAACCGCAUGGUUCAAUAGUGAAAGACGGUUUUGCUGUCACUUAUAGAUGGAUCCGCGCCGCAUUAGCUAGUUGGUAAGGUAACGGCUUACCAAGGCAACGAUGCGUAGCCGGCCUGAGAGGGUGAUCGGCCACACUGGAACUGAGACACGGUCCAGACUCCUACGGGAGGCAGCAGUAGGGAAUCUUCCGCAAUGGGCGAAAGCCUGACGGAGCAACGCCGCGUGAGUGAUGAAGGUCUUCGGAUCGUAAAACUCUGUUAUUAGGGAAGAACAAAUGUGUAAGUAACUAUGCACGUCUUGACGGUACCUAAUCAGAAAGCCACGGCUAACUACGUG
Molecule: ribosomal RNA, 497 nt
Filed under: uncultured bacterium
Lineage: Bacteria
Description: partial 16S ribosomal RNA
Rfam family: Bacterial small subunit ribosomal RNA
Source: RNAcentral